GCAGAUUGAGCUUCAACAGGAGCAUGGCAUAUAUGCAGAAAGUUUGUUGGAAGGCAUUUCUUUGCUAAUUAACCCACUGUUACCAUACUCUUAGGAUAAAUGCUAAAAUAGACAUUCAGAUAUUUAUCAGCUCACUCUGAAGAGAGGCUAUGGACAGCACAAGUAAUAUUACAUUGACACUCAUGGUAAUAAACAUUACAGCUGGACCCUGCUGAUGGGGAAAACACGGUAGGAAACCAUUAGUGGGCGGCAUGGGGUAUGAUAGGUUAAUCUUAGGUAAUUAGACUUCUAGUUGGACGUCUUGUUUUGGGGAACAGAAAUAGAAGCAACCCCAAUGUUAAUGUUAGCCAAGCUCGUCAUAAAAGAAACAAUAACACUCAAAGGCAGAAGAAAGUAACACUCAAGAAGCCCGACAAUGAGCUACAUUAGACAGACAAGAAGCCCAACAAUGAGCUAUGUUAGACAUGACAAGAAACUGAUACAGGAGCCAAGCAGGAUGGAGUGGAUCCAGGAGCAAAGUGAAAGAGUUAAACAGCCUCACAUCUGCUUCCUGGAGGCCAUGGUCGUACCAUACAGUAAGAACCAUACUCAGACUGAUCCCAAGGGAUUUCUAUCAGAUGCUUUGGAAGCUGCCAGGCAGAGCAUGCCAAAAUUUAGCUACCUCAGUGAACUUGGAAGGCCACUUCUUGAGAGGCCGAAUCACAGGGGUACAAUCCAACACAAAGGAUCUCUCCAUCCUUACUCACCAUAAAUACAGGGAUUUGUCUCCCAAGA
RNAcentral lists this long non-coding RNA (774 nucleotides) under Rattus norvegicus (Norway rat). Its description in RNAcentral is "long non-coding RNA NONRATT015803". The record is from RNAcentral. Lineage: Eukaryota; Metazoa; Chordata; Mammalia; Rodentia; Muridae.